AUUUUCUAUUUUUACCAGGAAACUAUAUUUGACAUUUUUGACAGUCAUUUUUCGUUAAUCUUGUCCAAAUUCCCAGUAAGAAUGACGACAGAAGCAAACGAGCAGUUUUAUUACAAUUUAAUGUUAGCCAAGGCAUUAGUGCAACUAAUGCCAGCAACUGAUCGGCAACACAUAAGAAUAUGGUUCGAUGUCCUUGCAGAUCUCGACUCAAGUGAGCAAGAACUGGCGAUUAGAAACGAAUACAUUUGGUUUAUUCUUCUCAUGUUACAAAACAACAAAAUUGAAGAAUAUUUUAAAGAUUUACCACCGAGGAAAGUUUUGCCUCUUCGCAAAGUUCUACCCCAGAAAGUCAUCGAUGAUGUUUUAAUAACUUGCGAUCAGAAUAUGUCGUGGCUGGAUACAGUUACCGAUGAUGAGAAAGAAAAAAAUUUGGACAAAAAGAAAAUUCCACCCGAAAUGUUUUUAAAUAGCCAACCGCUCCCUAAAGAAGGUGUUAUCUCUUAUUUUGGAGCUUUCAGUGACCACUCGUAGGCCACACGAGCUAGUUAACAAUGCCAUCUCUAACUAAAUUUAGGAAUUAAUUAAAUAUUUGCUGAGUUUGGUCUUGUAAUACAUUGACCUCAAGAAAAUGCGUCGCUAUCCAGCUGGUCGUAAAUUCUCACAUUUUUCCUGCUUUAAUAACAUAUUUUUGUGGUUCUUGCUUUUAAGAUUUGUGUUUAAGAAGGAAUACGAUUUAAUUUUUUGUAUAAAAAGCUUGUCUGAUCAAUUUUUCAAUAAAUUGUGGUAAAACAA
RNA transcript from Tribolium castaneum (red flour beetle), 792 nucleotides. RefSeq lists it as uncharacterized. The record is from RefSeq and is a predicted model, not a curated record. Lineage: Eukaryota; Metazoa; Arthropoda; Insecta; Coleoptera; Tenebrionidae. The transcript is spliced from 4 exons.